RNAcentral lists this unclassified non-coding RNA (280 nucleotides) under Bombus terrestris (buff-tailed bumblebee). RNAcentral's name for it is "misc RNA ENSBTSG00005037044.1". Lineage: Eukaryota; Metazoa; Arthropoda; Insecta; Hymenoptera; Apidae. The record is from RNAcentral.
GUUUCAAGAGCAGUGCCACGAUCGACGCCGCCAAGCAACGAUAUUGAAUUUCAUCUUCGCGGAUGUUCGAACGAAUUUCCAAUCGAUUACAAACCCCGCACGAGAUGAUUUCUUUGGACAAAAGGGAAAUAUCAUUUGUCUACGAAGGGCCACCUAUAUAUUACGGCUGAAUAAUGUUUUUGUUAUAGUUAGAUUCGAGGGUGACUUACUGGUGGGUUUUUCGAGCACUCUUUUGCGAACCUGAGCUAGACAUACCUCGUGGGGCACCUUUAAACAGAAC